CUCGUUCUGGGGGUUUGUGGAUUUUAGGAAAUUUACAGGCCAUGAAUUAUGUCAAAUAGAGGCCUUUGGGCCCUACAAGUGCUGAUGGCGCCCCCAGGGGCACGCCCCUUGGGCUUGUGACUCCCUCAAGAGUCCUCUGGUCUCUCCCUGAAGUUUCUAGGGUCUCUUCUGGCCCAGAAAAAAUCACCGUAAAGUUUCAGCGUGUUUGGACUUCGUUUGGUAUGGUUUUCUAUGAAACAAAGAAAUAGGAAAAAAACAGGAACUGUCACUAGGCACAAAGUUAAUAGGUUCGUCCACAAAAAUAAAUAAAAUGACAUAUAAAGUAUACAAGAUUGAUAAUAUAAUAGCAUGAAACAAAUAAAAAAUUAUAGAUAUUGUUGGAGACGUAUCAAUAACCAUGCCAUAAUAAGAACCAAAAGAACAAGAAAACAAAUACUGCAAGGCUAAGCAAUGCAGCAUCAGUAUAAUUGGGCUCUAUAUAUGAUAUAGGUUCAUAUGGUGUUAUAAGGUGACAUGUGAAAGAAUCAACUCAAAAGAGUCAAUGGACGAUGAAUAGUUGCUAUAUAAGCUUACAUUGGAGAUUAUAUGGAAAAGUGUCAAAAGUAUUUGGAAAAUAACAUAAACAUUGCUUGACGGAUUACACGUGAAGUAAGAAUUCAUUUGUAAAGAGAACUACUUCUGUAAGCCAUUUGACAAAUCAUUCCAUUUGACUUGAGUUGUAGUACUCCUAUUCAAUUACUCCCUCCAUUCACUUUUGUAAGAAGUUUUAGAGACUUAAGACAACAACCAAAACAGUUCAAUUUCAGCUGUCUUAAACGUCUUACAAAAGUGAACAGAUGGAGUAAUUGAAUAGGAGUAAUACAACACAAGUCAUAGUGAAAUGAAGUUUGAAUUCAAAACAGGUCAACAAUUAUUAGAAUAUUGAGUAUACUGGAUAUGAAUAGAAAUUAUAUGACACACGUAUUUAGAUGCAAAAGGAAUCAAUUAAAUAUGGUUUGCAAGAUAUGAUCAAAUGAAGAUUCGUAUUCACAUUUGAAUUGCUCAAAUUUUAAAAGUUUUAAAACGUGAAAUAUUGAUGCUAUGGGAUAGUAGAGGUCAAUAAGAAGAUGUAGGAAAAACAAUAACUUGAUUUGAGCUUAUGAUUUACUCCCUCCGUCCACUUAGUACAAAGUUGACUCACUUUUGAGUCACUUAUUUUGGGACGGAGGGAGUACUAGAUAUAAACAAAACAAAACUGAUAUGAAAUCUGUCAAAAACUCUAGCGUGGCAACUUUUUUAUUCAUACAAAAAUCCUGCCCUGGCAGCGAUUUGGAGUGUUGCGACUAUGACUAAGAAACAGGACAUGUGGCACUUCGUUAAUGGAGCAUACCAGUUCGGGUUUGAGGCUAUUUUGAGCAAUUGGAUUGAGUCAGAUUAGACGGCUGCUGUUUUUUUAGAGUUAGGGUGAGUGUCAAUGGGGAAUUUCUCACUGGAGGUUCGCUAGAGUUGGAGAAGACGGCGCGCAUGGCUCUGAUUUCGAGCGUGUGGUCCCAAGAGAGGCCCUUGGAGCUCGUGGUUGGCACCACGGGACUCAAGUCGAUCAUAUGGUGGUAGUGGAGACGACCUGGGCUUGCUCCCGUGACGGCAGCGACCGGCUGGAGCGGCGGUGGGGGAGAUGAGCCCCGGGUCGAGGGUAAUUCUGUCGUUAUGGUGCUCCACUGCGAGAACUAGGACAUCAGGGGGGUGCGGCACAACGAGUUAGCAAGUUGGGAGUUUGUGGGCUAGCUCGGGAUUUACCUUACGCGACGGAAUCAGCCAGUGAUGACGGCAGUGAGCUUGAGCUCUCAGAGAGAACCGAUUCGAGCGAAACACAGGUCCUGAAGGAGGAAAAUCAGGACAAA
This 1880-nucleotide long non-coding RNA is filed under the name Triticum aestivum (bread wheat). Its description in RNAcentral is "long non-coding RNA (TAES_LNC012347)". Lineage: Eukaryota; Viridiplantae; Streptophyta; Magnoliopsida; Poales; Poaceae. The record is from RNAcentral.